This 492-nucleotide ribosomal RNA is filed under the name uncultured bacterium. RNAcentral's name for it is "partial 16S ribosomal RNA". It matches the Rfam family "Bacterial small subunit ribosomal RNA", at positions 29 to 507 of the family's 1533-position model. The record is from RNAcentral.
AGUGAACGCUGGCGGUAGGCCUAACACAUGCAAGUCGAACGGCAGCACAGUAAGAGCUUGCUCUUACGGGUGGCGAGUGGCGGACGGGUGAGGAAUACAUCGGAAUCUACUUUUUCGUGGGGGAUAACGUAGGGAAACUUACGCUAAUACCGCAUACGACCUACGGGUGAAAGCAGGGGAUCUUCUGACCUUGCGCGAUUGAAUGAGCCGAUGUCGGAUUAGCUAGUUGGCGGGGUAAAGGCCCACCAAGGCGACGAUCCGUAGCUGGUCUGAGAGGAUGAUCAGCCACACUGGAACUGAGACACGGUCCAGACUCCUACGGGAGGCAGCAGUGGGGAAUAUUGGACAAAGGGCGCAAGCCUGAUCCAGCCAUACCGCGUGGGUGAAGAAGGCCUUCUGGUUGUAAAGCCCUUUUGUUGGGAAAGAAAAACAGCAGGUUAAUACCCCGCUGUUCUGACGGUACCCAAAGAAUAAGCACCGGCUAACUUCGUG